CAGUCGCCGCGGGAAUACGUAGGGUGCGAGCGUUAAUCGGAAUUACUGGGCGUAAAGCGUGCGCAGGCGGUUAUAUAAGACAGAUGUGAAAUCCCCGGGCUCAACCUGGGACCUGCAUUUGUGACUGUAUAGCUAGAGUACGGUAGAGGGGGAUGGAAUUCCGCGUGUAGCAGUGAAAUGCGUAGAUAUGCAGAGGAACACCGAUGGCGAAGGCAAUCCCCUGGACCUGUACUGACGCUCAUGCACGAAAGCGUGGGGAGCAAACAGGAUUAGAUACCCCGGUAGUCCCUGUCUCUUAUAC
RNAcentral lists this ribosomal RNA (301 nucleotides) under uncultured bacterium. RNAcentral describes it as "partial 16S ribosomal RNA". It matches the Rfam family "Bacterial small subunit ribosomal RNA", at positions 509 to 807 of the family's 1533-position model. The record is from RNAcentral.